CACAAACAUCAAUUCCAUGCACCCGAUUCGACCGUUAUCAGGCCAUGAAAUAGGUGUUAUCCGUCACUUUAACCACCAUAGAUGUGGGUCAUUAGGGGCCUACUAUGCCUGCUGCAUUGUAAAAGUGAAAGUGAAACUUUAAAAGUAACACGUUCUAACAUGUUGUAAAACUGAAUGAAACGUCACG
Molecule: long non-coding RNA, 187 nt
Organism: Sebastes umbrosus (honeycomb rockfish)
Lineage: Eukaryota; Metazoa; Chordata; Actinopteri; Perciformes; Sebastidae
Exons: 3
Source: RefSeq, a predicted model, not a curated record